UUAAGGAUACAGAGGCUCUCCUGAGAGAUAUUGCUUUGACAAUCUGGAGGCUGAAUUACUAGAAAGGAAAACUACACCAACAAGCUAUGACAGAAGAUUAUGGGAAAAGUUGCAAACUGCUAAUGAGGAAAAAAAAGUCAAUUAUACCAUAUAGACAGCAGAACCAAAUGAACAAACAAACAAAACAGCUGUACACAUUUGCCUCAGAAAAAGGAAUAAGGAUGAAAGAAGGGGAGAUCUUGACUAAGAUGCAUGCUAAAAGCUGAAGCCAUCAGAAUUUAAGUUAUGAUGCAUGAUUUGCUUUGUAUAAGAGCUGUGAAAACAGUGCAGUUUGAAUAAGGGAAUAUAUAGUAUUAUUCUGCUUUCACUUCCUUUUAUCAUUUUGUCAUAACAUCUGUUAUAUAUGGCAAUACUAUAAUUCAUUACAUCUAUGAAAACAUUACACUAGAGAAAAUAUUAAAAUACAGUAUCUUCAUUAGAUUUUUGCUUUUUCUGUCUGUUCCUAACACCUAAUUAUUAUCUUGUGAUUCAGUGUAUUAAAUAAGUGUUUUUACAAAAUAUUCUGUUUUAACUUCAUACAUGUUGUCUUUUAGUUUUCUUUGCUUUUGUAUUAUAAAAGAAAAUGAACAGAUUUACUUAAUCAGCUUUGACUUAGAUACAUUUCUUUUCAGAAAUUAUGAGCAGUAGCAAAGUAUUUCAUCUACAAUUAGAAAAAUUUUGGGGAAAUGACUUUAAAAUAUAUGAAAGUGUAUGCAUUCUUGUCCUUCCUACAGCUUAUGUUGCUUUAGGAACAUGAGUCUAUCUACAGUUGACCUGGCUGUAUGUUAGUAUGCUCCCCGAUAGUUCUUCUUUUUGUCCCUGCUCUAUCAAUCACCAUCAUCAGUAGUUACUUUUUAUGCAUUGGACUCCAGUAAACAAAUAGAUACUGUUGACUAUGUAUGGAAUAUCAUAAUCUAGUCUUAGUGUACAAUCACUUUAACUUUUACUUCUCUUGAAAACAACCUUGUAUUGAAUGUACACAGCAUCUUACUUCAAUAAAGUUCAGUACAGC
RNAcentral lists this long non-coding RNA (1051 nucleotides) under Anas platyrhynchos platyrhynchos (common mallard). Its description in RNAcentral is "lncRNA (ENSAPLG00000019032.1)". Lineage: Eukaryota; Metazoa; Chordata; Aves; Anseriformes; Anatidae. The record is from RNAcentral.